AUGAGGGAUCUGCCCUGUGGUAGCGAGCCUGUAAUCCCAGCUGCUGGGGAGGCUGAGGCAUGGGAAUCUCUUGAACCCGGGAGGCGGAGCUUGCAGUGAGCCGAGAUCAAGCCACCGCACUCCAGCCUGGGCAACAGAGCGAGACUCCGUCUCACAAAAUAAAUAAAAGCCCCGUCUCCAAAUAUGUCACAUUGUGAGGUACCCGGGGUCAAGACUUCAACAUAAGUUGGCGGGGGGCGGGGUGCAGGGCAUAACCCUGCCCAUGACAGCCCUGGUUCAUUUCUGAACUGGUUGAAGGCUGCCUCCCUCUGCCCUUGACGCCGCACCACCUUCCUGCCUGGAUCCUCUGCUCCCAUGUACUGUCCACAUGCUGCUCGAGGGCUCCUUCUUAUGCGCCACCUAUCCUGCUUCUCAGCCCUCAGUGAAGCCCAGUUCCUUCACAGGACGCAGGAAUCCCUCUUGAACCUGGCCCUACCUUUCUCGCCUGCCUGUGUUCCUUCCAUACUUCUUGUCUUGCGCUUGUCCCAGUGGGCGCUGAACUGCUGUGACCUGGCUGUGCUGUUUCCUGACUCGAUACUUCUGCUUCUAUUUAUGCCCUCACCCUGAGUUUUUUGCCUUUGCCUGCCUACCCCUUCUUCAUUCUUCAAAAUUGACAGUGAGAGGGAGACUUCUGUGGUUCCUUGAAUUCCAUCCCAGUUCUGGCUUCUGGCCCAGAGAGACUUGCAUGCAUGCACAGAACUCAGCACAGGCAGACGGCAUGUGGACAGAUCACAGCACAGCGGCCCUUUGUGAGGAACAAUGACAAUGACUUCCACCUCUUCCGGGGAGAAGCCCAGAUGAGGAGGUCAGUUGCUGUGGCCUGUCAGCCCUAGAGGUGAUGUCACCGUCUCCCGAGGACAAAACCUUCAUUUAGCUGCAAGAGGGAACAGAUGAAGUUGGCAAGAGUUCGCAUGCUAGCCAGUGCUCCAGGGUGAGGUAGCAGUGGUCCCUAAUUUCAAAUGGGAGUUAAAUUGGUCUUCCCAAAUCACUACCAUGGCCCAGUUGUUAUUUUAAUGGUGUUUUCCUCAUGGUUUUGUGUGGCAUGGUAGCAAAAUGUUAUUGAGUUGCCUUCAUUCUUCUGUUAUCUCUAACCACAUAUCCAGCUUCCUGAGUUUCUCUUUUUCAUUUAUAAAAUAGGAACGAUGACAGUACCUGACUUAAAACUCUACCAUGUUAAACAACAACAACAACAAAACGGUAGCUCUCUCAGGUUGAUUCCAAGGCUGGGAUCGGGAAAGUACUAAAUGAGCCUAGACUCUUGCCAUGCCAUAGGCGAGGAAGUGCUCAGAUAAUGGUGUGGGCAUGUCAAAAGAACAGGAGCUGGCUGGAAAGAGCUCUCACCAGCCAAAUUUGGGAUAAUUUGAGUAUCAAAAUAAAUGAUGAUGGUAAUGGAGAGUAAACAAUGGAACAAAAUAGGAAUUCAUGAGUCUGUAGUGAUAUAAAUGUACGAAUCAGUGGGAGAGAAGGGAAAGCUCUUCCCUACAGUAGAAUGCCAACCAAUAAACUUAGAAGAAAUAAUGGGAUUAGAAAAGGAACCAUUUGGCAAUCACCACGGUAACAACUGAUUCAGGCAGAAAAUCAUCAACGGAUGCUAAAGUCAUGGUUUGAAUGGUGAGAAUUUGAUGAGAAAUAUCUCUCAACAAGAUACUAAUUAAAAUGGGAAAAGUAGAAACUACAGUGGAGAAAUCUGCCAGUACUACUUCGUAGAUGAUUAAAGUGAACAUCAUCCGCAAUGGGAGAGAAAAGAAUCACACGCUUUCUGUUGAGAUGCGCUGAGAUGGACAAAAUGUCAUCUUGCAGGUAUUCUUGCCGAGAAAGCACAUGCCUGAAUCUAAUCAUAAAGAAGCAUCAGGCAGGGGGCUGGGCGUGGUGGCUCACGCCUGUAAUCCCAGCACUUUGGGAGGCCGAGGCGGGCGGAUCACGAGGUCAGGAGACCGAGACCAUCCUGGCCAACACGGUGAAACCCCGUCUCUACUGAAAAUACAAAAAAUUAGCCGGGCGUGGUGGCGGGCGCCUGUAGUCGCAGCUACUUGGGAGGCUGAGGCAGGAGAAUGGCGUGAACCCGGGAGGUGGAGCCUGCAGUGAGCCGAGAUCGCGCCACUGCGCUCCAGCCUGGGCGACAGAGUGAGACUCCGUCUCAAAAAAAAAAAAAAAGAAAAAAGAAAAAAAAAAAGCAUCAGGCAAACUCAAAUUAAGGGAGAUCCAAAAAAGAAUGUCCCAUGUCAUUCAAAAAUGUCAAUGUCAUAAAUGACAAGCACUGAGGGAUUGUACUGAUAUAGAGGAGACUAAAGAGAAAUGAAGACCAAGUGCAACCUGGACCUUGCAGCAGUAGAAAAUAUUAAAACAACAAGAACUAUAAAGGACAUAAAGGGAACCACUGACAAAACUGGAAUAAAAUCUGUAGAUU
Molecule: long non-coding RNA, 2446 nt
Organism: Pan troglodytes (chimpanzee)
Lineage: Eukaryota; Metazoa; Chordata; Mammalia; Primates; Hominidae
Exons: 3
Source: RefSeq, a predicted model, not a curated record